GGGGACGUAACAAAGCGACCCAGGAAUACUUGGGCGUGCCUCCACCCACGCCGGCGUCGGCGGGCGUAUUUCGCCUCACAGUAGGUCGCCGCGACCCGUUGCUUUUGGGGACGUCGAAGGCCCGGACGGAUUGGUACCCUACCGGCUGGGGAUGCGGCUUCGGCUUCUCCUCUUGUCCGGUGGGCGAAACCGCCGGUGUCCUGGCUGCCCUGCGACGGUCGUAGAGACGAGCCCCUCCCAUUCGUGGGGGGCGGCUCUCGCGGCGUGCAAAAGGUCGGUGAUCCACCCGACCCGUCUUGAAACACGGACCAAGGAGUCUAACAUGUGUGCGAGUCAGUGGGCGCACUAAACCCAGAGGCGUAAUGAAAGUGACACGGGUUCGGCUGUCGCCUCGUGUGGCAGCCGGACUCAGGGCCGAUCCCUCACCGGUUGCCCUCGCCUCUCUCCCGCGUCUCGGUAAGCCGGGUGAGCUAUUUUCCCCGGCCGCUGCUGCGGGGCUCGGGGGGAGGCGGGGUGCGAUGGUGUCCGUAAAAAAGAGCCUGCUGUUGCAGGGGGGCGCAGGCCCGGGACUUGCCAGGACGCCGCGAGACUGUCACUUUGCUGUGAGGCUCCAGGGCCGAUCAGCGGGUCAUGCGUGCAGUCGGCAAGUACCAUGAGCAGACAUGUUGGGACCCGAAAGAUGGUGAACUAUGCCUGGCCAGGAUGAAGCCAGAGGAAACUCUGGUGGAGGUCCGUAGCGAUUCUGACGUGCAAAUCGAUCGUCGGAGCUGGGUAUAGGGGCGA
Molecule: ribosomal RNA, 783 nt
Filed under: Procambarus geminus
Lineage: Eukaryota; Metazoa; Arthropoda; Malacostraca; Decapoda; Cambaridae
Also listed under: 1 other name
Description: eukaryotic LSU rRNA
Rfam family: Eukaryotic large subunit ribosomal RNA (bases 308-783)
Source: RNAcentral